Chenopodium quinoa (quinoa) is the source of this 966-nucleotide long non-coding RNA. RefSeq lists it as uncharacterized. The record is from RefSeq and is a predicted model, not a curated record. NCBI's taxonomy places the organism in Eukaryota, Viridiplantae, Streptophyta, Magnoliopsida, Caryophyllales, Amaranthaceae. The transcript has 5 exons.
UAUGUCAAGCCAUACAUUUUCAGUUUUGGCGGACCAUCUCUGUUCACCCCAUUUGGCCUGGCAUUCAGCAGCAUCUGAUCAUAAGCGUUGGGAUCAUAUCUGGGAAGUGCAUUUUCACCUGCAACCUCAAUGCUUUCUCUCCAGCUACCACUUAAGACCUGCACAUAAAAAUUGUGCACCAUGUCAAAGCCACAAAAUGCUGUAUUUGCUUCUUCCAGGAUCUGGUCACCAUGGAUCAACAGCUUGUUUGAAUACCAAGUCAAGAAGAAUUUUCCACUUUCAGUAAGAGAUCCUUCCAAAGGCUGUGAGUAAUUCAGUUCUGCAUGGGGAUGCACAAUCUUCUUCUGCAGCAUAUUGCAGAGAUAAUCUUACAUCUUCAUGGAAUUGAUUUAUUCAAGAUAGUAUGAAACAUUGAAAAUAAUGGACACUAGUUGAAGUAGGGGAAUGCCUUGGUGGCUAGUUGGUGCAUCAACUUCACGGAGAAAGAUUUGCUAAACAGGAUCGGUAUAAGGUAGCUACUAUACACCUUAAUGUAGAGGUGCAAUGUGGCCUUUCUUGACUUUAAUAGUGGUUGGAAAGCUAGAUCGGUUGAGAGAUCUAUUUGGGGAUAAGCCUACUUUAGAUUGAAGCAAGCGCUUGCAUCUUGCUCAGGGAGCUCACCGUGGACUUUGUAUGAGCAGUGUAAUUCAAAAAUUAUUCAUAGAUGUGAAGGCUGCCAACAUCACACUGCACAUAUUGCUCAGGGAGCUCGCCGUGGAGUAUGCAAUUUGUCGCUCAUUACUCAUUGUUAGUGAGGAGGAAAAGUUUAUAGCAUUAGUGAACAAUUUUAUAAGCUUUCUCUGUAACAUACAAUCAUAAUACAUAGUGAUUAAACGUUGUGAUACAAAGUGUUAAUGUCCACCUCAGAUAAUAACAAACAAAUUGAACACAUUGGGAGAAAGAAGAUCCAAUAGCAGCUCAUAACCA